This 2331-nucleotide long non-coding RNA is filed under the name Homo sapiens (human). Its description in RNAcentral is "HSALNT0246943". The record is from RNAcentral. Lineage: Eukaryota; Metazoa; Chordata; Mammalia; Primates; Hominidae.
AAAGAACUGUGUCCCAAUGUUGUGAGAAGAGAAAGACACAAUGAACCACUGCUGGCUUUGAAGAUGGAAGAGGGAGCUGCAACCCAAAGAAUGCCUCUAGAAGCAGGAGAAGGCAAGAAACAGAUUCUCGCCUAGAGCUUCCAGAAAGGAGCACAGUGCCAGCACUUUGAUGUUAGCCAUUCUUAAGAAGUGACUCUCCAGGGGAGCUAAAAUCCAUGUAUUUGGGCACACACUUGAACAAUAUUGCUAGAGAAAUUUAAGCAAGAGCACAAAGAAGGUGGUUCCAUCUGCUCUUAAUACCAAGACAGUUCUUCUGUGUAAUUGGUUAAUGACAUCUCUUGUGGGGACCACUGUGAGAAUAAAACAAGGCACUACGUUGUCUGGGAUGAUGGAAGGAGCUAAAGUCUUCAGUGAAUGAAGGAGCAGGACCAGGAGCUCAAAAUACUUCUUUGAAGACAAAGAAGAAAUGAUAUUACCAAAUGGUUGGCUCAAAAGAACAGGGAUUUUGCAACAGAGAGAGUAUGUCAUGGUCUUGAACAAGCAAUGUUUUGCCAGGACGAUUAAAUAUCAUUGAUGCUUCUGGUCUACAAUUAGUCAGAGAAGAGAUUAAAAAAAUGAUGAGUAUUCAAGAAGGAAAGUGUUUGCUUUAACAUAUGAAGAAAAGGAGCUUCAGAGUGGUGAUUAACCCCAGAAUUGUGUGGAACGGAUAUGGAAACAAGACCACAGGAGCAUCGAGAACUGAGCAGAACUGAAGGUGACAUGAAAAUCAGCUGCAAGAUUCACCUCAGGGUGAUAAUGGGCUGCAGGUGGCUGCAGGAAUCCCGGGACAUUCUAGGCACUGCCAUAUUUUCUUAGGGGCCAGUAAGGAUGGCUAUCAUCAGAUGUACCUGAUGAUACAAACAUGGGCUGUCUUGCCUUCUAGUAUUCAUUCUUGAUGAUUGCAUCCAGAGCUCACUUUGGAGGUGCAGAUCAACUCUUCUUCAGGCUCAUCCAUGCGACUUGAGUGGGCUCUCAUCCCCAUUCCCAGGGGCUUAUGACAAUCAAGGUUUCCACUCCUCCAUGGUCUCAAUGGUUUUUCUCCCCAUGGGAAGCACAUAAUCCCAUUAGAGGCCACGGGAAGCUUUUUUGUUGGGCUUUGAGGGAAAAAAGGCUUUUGCAGCCAAUGAAUCGAUCAAUGUGUACUUCAACCUGGAUUGUAUGUAUGCAUCUCCUAGAUUGGGCGGAUGAUGAAGUGAGGCUGGAAGUGCUGAGCAUCUUCCUACCUGGGAUGACUGGGCUGAGCAGGAAGCCUACCCCGGGGUUCCAGCCAAGUUGGAGCCUGUGAGUGUGUGGUGUAGUUUAACGCCCUGAUUAAAUCACUAGGAAGCCAUUUCUCUCUCUCCUCCCAGACCAGAUCAGACAAUAUGUUCCCUUAUUUCUACUAAAGCCCCAAUUGGAUUUUGUGUCUUUUGAUACUGAAAGAAUCUUACCACAAAUAAAAUAAUUUGUCAUGUGGCUCCUACAUAUUUAUUCAGUUACAUAAACUAACUAAAUAAAUGAAUAAACUGUCAAUAAUGGUAGUUCCUCAUCUAUGAAUGACUCUUUACAAAGCCUAUCUCGCUUAAUAGUCAUAAUAAAUACUGAAGUAGAUACUAUUUAUACCUUUUUUUUAAAAGGAAUUAAAUAUUUUCAGGGUUAUACAAAGCAUGAGUAUUGUGGGUACAAAUUCAAGCUUUCUAACUCAAAUUUGAAGACUUAUCCCCAGGAUACUUUUACAUCUUUAGCUAGUACCAUGUAUACCUCAAAAGCUUACAUUAUUUUUCACAUGUGUUAGGUUUUGAGGGAUAAUCAAUAAGGAGGGCAUACUUUCAGGCUUCUUAUUUAUAACUGUGAAAUUUAGAAAUUGAUGGAGUAGCAGAUUUCUCGGUAGGAGACAGCUGUUUUAAAAUGCCCCAUGUUUUUAUUAAAGUAAAAAUCUCAAAAAUUGUCUUUUAAAAAGUGGCUCUGGCCAAUCUUAGAUAAAACAUCAUUUACUAGACUUAGGAAUUUCCUGUAGUAAAUUUCAGAUUUACUUUUCGGUCUCACAUCAUCAAAGAGAUCAUAACCCUUUGUGCAAUUAUGGUCUUGAACCAAGGCCUAUUCUCUAGGUCACUGCUGUCAGGACUUCAAGAUAAUUGUUUCCAUUGCAGGAUUUGAUUUUUAAUUCCCCGGAUGUUCUUGACGUGGUUCAGUUCUUCAGGAAAUCAUCACCCUCAUGAGCCCUCCCUGCCACUUGCAGAUAGGGCUUUCUCCCGGUAAGUUCUGGAGUCACGGCAGAGCUCAAUAAGUCUGAUUGGGACCUCCUAUGAUUAU